Molecule: ribosomal RNA, 460 nt
Filed under: uncultured bacterium
Lineage: Bacteria
Description: partial 16S ribosomal RNA
Rfam family: Bacterial small subunit ribosomal RNA
Source: RNAcentral
CCUACGGGAGGCAGCAGUGAGGAAUAUUGGUCAAUGGACGAGAGCCUGAACCAGCCAAGUAGCGUGAAGGAUGACUGCCCUAUGGGUUGUAAACUUCUUUUAUAAGGGAAUAAAAUGUUCCACGUGUGGGCUUUUGUAUGUACCAUAUGAAUAAGGAACGGCUAACUCCGUGCCAGCAGCCGCGGUAAUACGGAGGAUCCGAGCGUUAGCCGGAUUUAUUGGGUUUAAAGGGAGCGUAGGUGGGUGGGUAAGUUAGUUGGGAAAGUUUGGGGCUCAACCGUAAAAUUGCAGUUGAAACUGGCAGUCUUGAGUACAGUAGAGGUAGGCGGAAUGCGUGGUGUAGCGGUGAAAUGCUUAGAUAUCACGAAGAACUCCGAUUGCGAAGGCAGUUCACUGGACUGCAACUGACACUGAGGCUCGAAAGUGUGGGUAUCAAACAGGAUUAGAUACCCCUGUAGUC